This 492-nucleotide ribosomal RNA is filed under the name uncultured bacterium. RNAcentral's name for it is "partial 16S ribosomal RNA". It matches the Rfam family "Bacterial small subunit ribosomal RNA", at positions 29 to 507 of the family's 1533-position model. The record is from RNAcentral.
AGUGAACGCUGGCGGUAGGCCUAACACAUGCAAGUCGAACGGCAGCACAGUAAGAGCUUGCUCUUACGGGUGGCGAGUGGCGGACGGGUGAGGAAUACAUCGGAAUCUACUUUUUCGUGGGGGAUAACGUAGGGAAACUUACGCUAAUACCGCAUACGACCUACGGGUGAAAGCAGGGGAUCUUCGGACCUUGUGCGAUUGAAUGAGCCGAUGUCGGAUUAGCUAGUUGGCGGGGUAAAGGCCCACCAAGGCGACGAUCCGUAGCUGGUCUGAGAGGAUGAUCAGCCACACUGGAACUGAGACACGGUCCAGACUCCUACGGGAGGCAGCAGUGGGGAAUAUUGGACAAAGGGCGCAAGCCUGAUCCAGCCAUACCGCGUGGGUGAAGAAGGCCUUCGGGUUGUAAAGCCCUGUUGUUGGGAAAGAAAAGCAGCAGGUUAAUACCCCGCUGUUCUGACGGUACCCAAAGAAUAAGCACCGGCUAACUUCGUG